AUACGGAGGGUGCAAGCGUUAAUCGGAAUUACUGGGCGUAAAGCGCGCGUAGGCGGUUUGAUAAGUCGGAUGUGAAAUCCCCGGGCUCAACCUGGGAAUUGCAUUCGAUACUGUCAGGCUAGAGUGUGGUAAAGGGAAGUGGAAUUUCCGGUGUAGCGGUGAAAUGCGUAGAUAUCGGAAGGAACACCAGUGGCGAAGGCGGCUUCCUGGACCAACACUGACGCUGAGGUGCGAAAGCGUGGGGAGCAAACAGGAUUAGAAACCCUAGUAGUCC
This 274-nucleotide ribosomal RNA is filed under the name uncultured bacterium. RNAcentral's name for it is "partial 16S ribosomal RNA". It matches the Rfam family "Bacterial small subunit ribosomal RNA", at positions 523 to 796 of the family's 1533-position model. The record is from RNAcentral.